GGGAGCUUGCUCCUNGGAUCCAGCGGCGGACGGGUGAGUAAUGCCUAGGAAUCUGCCUGGUAGUGGGGGAUAACGUCCGGAAACGGGCGCUAAUACCGCAUACGUCCUGAGGGAGAAAGUGGGGGAUCUUCGGACCUCACGCUAUCAGAUGAGCCUAGGUCGGAUUAGCUAGUUGGUGGGGUAAAGGCCUACCAAGGCGACGAUCCGUAACUGGUCUGAGAGGAUGAUCAGUCACACUGGAACUGAGACACGGUCCAGACUCCUACGGGAGGCAGCAGUGGGGAAUAUUGGACAAUGGGCGAAAGCCUGAUCCAGCCAUGCCGCGUGUGUGAAGAAGGUCUUCGGAUUGUAAAGCACUUUAAGUUGGGAGGAAGGGCAGUAAGUUAAUACCUUGCUGUUUUGACGUUACCAACAGAAUAAGCACCGGCUAACUUCGUGCCAGC
RNAcentral lists this ribosomal RNA (443 nucleotides) under Pseudomonas sp. ALE_F6*. RNAcentral describes it as "bacterial SSU rRNA". It matches the Rfam family "Bacterial small subunit ribosomal RNA", at positions 74 to 512 of the family's 1533-position model. The record is from RNAcentral. Lineage: Bacteria; Pseudomonadati; Pseudomonadota; Gammaproteobacteria; Pseudomonadales; Pseudomonadaceae.